This 957-nucleotide long non-coding RNA is filed under the name Taeniopygia guttata (zebra finch). Its description in RNAcentral is "lncRNA (ENSTGUG00000026055.1)". The record is from RNAcentral. Lineage: Eukaryota; Metazoa; Chordata; Aves; Passeriformes; Estrildidae.
GCUGGGCUGUGAGCUGGCAAGCUCAUGCCCUUUUUUUGGAGGCUUGAGCCAACUGCUUUUGAUCUGGGAGCUUACAGAAUGGGAGUAGGCUGAAUCAAGCCUCUGUCAAGAACCACUGCUGAAUUACUGAAUUAACAUACCCAAGACCAGCACAUCAGGAGGAUAGCCUUCUACCAAGAAUAGUGUGAAGAUAUAUCUUGUUCACAGAAGGUCUGGAAACAUCGUGAGACUUGGACAGACACAGUGCAUUCUUAGAAGGCAGAGAUGUUGCUGCUCUCUGAGCAUUGCACACUCUGUGUUCAUGACUGGUGGAAAUAGUGCCCAGUUUUGGGGGAGCUUGGUGGUAUGGGAGACAGUCGCAGCAGCUCUAAUAGGGGGGCUUAUCACUUUCUUGUUGAGCCAGGUUUGAUCAUCUCCUUUGCACAAGCCCUGCACGUUCACCUAGAUUCCUCCCCAGGCAGCUACAGUUGAUCUGCUCACCAAGGGAAUUUGUCCCACUGGAUUCCUUUUUUUUUUUCUGUGCAGCUGAAUGAAAAGUGUGAGUCUUUUGAAGAGCAGCAACUGAAAGAAAUAUUGAUGACUGCCAGGGCAUCUACAGAAAAAGAUAAGAAAAUUACUCUACUACAACAAUGAAAACAAAGGGGCUUUGUUUACACUUUCUUGUAGGUUGUAUAUAUUAAUAGUAACAAGUAAAGUUUUGUAUUUUUCAGUGAAAUACACAAGGCCUUGAAUUGUAUUGUUUUAAUUGCAACUAACUGAAUGAAUUAAGUGGAAAAUCGUACACAGUACUUUGAUUGUCUAAUUCUCUGUAUGUGAGGCUUUGGGAACAGUUUGUUAUUAUAAAAGAACAGCUCUAACCAGAAAUCAGCCAACAUGUAAUUGCUAGGCUGAGGGGCAGUUUGGGGAAAGCUGAUACUUAUUUAUACAUUAUUAAAUAAAAUCACAUAAUAUGAGGAU